CCUACGGGUGGCUGCAGUGGGGAAUAUUGGACAAUGGGGGAAACCCUGAUCCAGCAAUGCCGCGUGUGUGAAGAAGGCCUGCGGGUUGUAAAGCACUUUCGGUUGGGAAGAAAAGUUUGGCGCCAAUACCGCCGAACCUUGACGUUACUGACAGAAGAAGCACCGGCUAACUCUGUGCCAGCAGCCGCGGUAAUACAGAGGGUGCAAGCGUUAAUCGGGAGCACUGGGGUGAUAAUGUGCGUAGGGUGUGAAAUCCACGGGCUUAACCUGGGAACUGCAUUCGAUACUACAUGGCUAGAGUAUGGUAGAGGGAAGUGGAAUUUCCGGUGUAGCGGUGAAAUGCGUAGAUAUCGGAAGGAACACCAAUGGCGAAGGCAGCUUCCUGGACUAAUACUGACACUGAGGCACGAAAGCGUGGGUAGCAAACAGGAUUAGAUACCCUUGUAGUC
RNAcentral lists this ribosomal RNA (449 nucleotides) under uncultured bacterium. RNAcentral describes it as "partial 16S ribosomal RNA". It matches the Rfam family "Bacterial small subunit ribosomal RNA", at positions 338 to 795 of the family's 1533-position model. The record is from RNAcentral.